ACGAACGCUGGCGGCGUGCCUAAUACAUGCAAGUAGAACGCACAGUUUAUACCGUAGCUUGCUACACCAUAGACUGUGAGUUGCGAACGGGUGAGUAACGCGUAGGUAACCUGCCUGGUAGCGGGGGAUAACUAUUGGAAACGAUAGCUAAUACCGCAUAAUAUUAAUUAUUGCAUGAUAAUUAAUUGAAAGGUGCAAUUGCACCACUACCAGAUGGACCUGCGUUGUAUUAGCUAGUAGGUGAGGUAACGGCUCACCUAGGCGACGAUACAUAGCCGACCUGAGAGGGUGAUCGGCCACACUGGGACUGAGACACGGCCCAGACUCCUACGGGAGGCAGCAGUAGGGAAUCUUCGGCAAUGGACGAAAGUCUGACCGAGCAACGCCGCGUGAGUGAAGAAGGUUUUCGGAUCGUAAAGCUCGGUUGUAAGAGAAGAACGGGUGUGAGAGUGGAAAGUUCACACUGUGACGGUAUCUUACCAGAAGAGGACGGCUAACUACGUG
RNAcentral lists this ribosomal RNA (504 nucleotides) under uncultured bacterium. Its description in RNAcentral is "partial 16S ribosomal RNA". It matches the Rfam family "Bacterial small subunit ribosomal RNA", at positions 29 to 507 of the family's 1533-position model. The record is from RNAcentral.